RNAcentral lists this ribosomal RNA (447 nucleotides) under uncultured bacterium. RNAcentral's name for it is "partial 16S ribosomal RNA". It matches the Rfam family "Bacterial small subunit ribosomal RNA", at positions 29 to 523 of the family's 1533-position model. The record is from RNAcentral.
AACGAACGCUGGCGGCAGGCUUAACACAUGCAAGUCGAACGCCCCGCAAGGGGAGUGGCAGACGGGUGAGUAACACGUGGGAACCUUCCUCGUUGUACGGGACAACUCAGGGAAACUUGAGCUAAUACCGUAUACGUCCGAGAGGAGAAAGAUUUAUCGCAAUGAGACGGGCCCGCGUCGGAUUAGCUAGUUGGUGGGGUAACGGCCUACCAAGGCGACGAUCCGUAGCUGGUUUGAGAGAACGACCAGCCACACUGGGACUGAGACACGGCCCAGACUCCUACGGGAGGCAGCAGUGGGGAAUCUUGGACAAUGGGCGCAAGCCUGAUCCAGCCAUGCCGCGUGAGUGAAGAAGGCCUUCGGGUUGUAAAGCUCUUUUGUCAGGGACGAUAAUGACGGUACCUGAAGAAUAAGCCCCGGCAAACUUCGUGCCAGCCGCCGCCGUAA